GACGAACGCUGGCGGCGUGCUUAACACAUGCAAGUCGAACGGAAAGGCCCUGCUUUUGUGGGGUGCUCGAGUGGCGAACGGGUGAGUAACACGUGAGUAACCUGCCCUUGACUUUGGGAUAACUUCAGGAAACUGGGGCUAAUACCGGAUAGGAGCUCCUGCUGCAUGGUGGGGGUUGGAAAGUUUCGGCGGUUGGGGAUGGACUCGCGGCUUUUCAGCUUGUUGGUGGGGUAGUGGCUUACCAAGGCUUUGACGGGUAGCCGGCCUGAGAGGGUGACCGGCCACAUUGGGACUGAGGUACGGCCCAGACACCUACGGGAGGCAGCAGUUGGGAAUAUUGCACAAUGGGCGGAAGCCUGAUGCAGCAACGCCGCGUGCGGGAUGACGGCCUUCGGGUUGUAACCCGCUUUCGCCUGUGACGAAGCGUGAGUGACGGUAAUGGGUAAAGAAGCACCGGCUAACUACGUG
Molecule: ribosomal RNA, 468 nt
Filed under: uncultured bacterium
Lineage: Bacteria
Description: partial 16S ribosomal RNA
Rfam family: Bacterial small subunit ribosomal RNA
Source: RNAcentral